RNAcentral lists this ribosomal RNA (489 nucleotides) under uncultured bacterium. RNAcentral's name for it is "bacterial SSU rRNA". It matches the Rfam family "Bacterial small subunit ribosomal RNA", at positions 30 to 507 of the family's 1533-position model. The record is from RNAcentral.
AUUGAACGCUGGCGGCAUGCUUUACACAUGCAAGUCGAACGGCAGCACAGGGAGCUUGCUCCCGGGUGGCGAGUGGCGCACGGGUGAGUAAUACAUCGGAACGUGUCCUGUUGUGGGGGAUAACUGCUCGAAAGGGUGGCUAAUACCGCAUGAGACCUGAGGGUGAAAGCGGGGGAUCGCAAGACCUCGCGCAAUUGGAGCGGCCGAUGCCCGAUUAGCUAGUUGGUGAGGUAAAGGCUCACCAAGGCGACGAUCGGUAGCUGGUCUGAGAGGACGACCAGCCACACUGGGACUGAGACACGGCCCAGACUCCUACGGGAGGCAGCAGUGGGGAAUUUUGGACAAUGGGGGGCAACCCUGAUCCAGCCAUGCCGCGUGCAGGAUGAAGGCCUUCGGGUUGUAAACUGCUUUUGUCAGGGACGAAAAGGACCGUGUUAAUACCAUGGUCUGCUGACGGUACCUGAAGAAUAAGCACCGGCUAACUACGUG